This 353-nucleotide unclassified non-coding RNA is filed under the name soil metagenome. Its description in RNAcentral is "partial contains 5.8S ribosomal RNA, internal transcribed spacer 2, and large subunit ribosomal RNA". The stretch from base 1 to 121 matches the Rfam family "5.8S ribosomal RNA", at positions 35 to 154 of the family's 154-position model. The record is from RNAcentral.
GAUGAAGAACGCAGCGAAUUGCGAUAUGUAAUGUGAAUUGCAGAUUUUCAGUGAAUCAUCGAAUCUUUGAACGCACAUUGCGCCCGCCAGUAUUCUGGCGGGCAUGCCUGUUCGAGCGUCAUUACAACCCUCAGGCCCCCGGGCCUGGCGUUGGGGAUCGGCGGAGCCCCCCGUGGGCACACGCCGUCCCCCAAAUACAGUGGCGGUCCCGCCGCAGCUUCCAUCGCGUAGUAGCUAACACCUCGCGACUGGAGAGCGGCGCGGCCACGCCGUAAAACACCCAACUCUUCUGAAGUUGACCUCGAAUCAGGUAGGAAUACCCGCUGAACUUAAGCAUAUCAAUAAGCGGAGGA